GGCCCAGUAGCGGAUGGUCCGCGCCUGCACUCGAUAGCUUAUGGGCGACUUUAUAUCUCUGCAGGAGUCGUUCGUUCAAAUCGAGCCUGGGCCA
Non-coding RNA from Mycena vulgaris, 94 nucleotides. The record is from the annotation of a GenBank genome assembly. NCBI's taxonomy places the organism in Eukaryota, Fungi, Basidiomycota, Agaricomycetes, Agaricales, Mycenaceae.